This 72-nucleotide transfer RNA is filed under the name Marmota monax (woodchuck). It matches the Rfam family "tRNA". From Rfam's summary of the family: Transfer RNA (tRNA) molecules are approximately 80 nucleotides in length. Lineage: Eukaryota; Metazoa; Chordata; Mammalia; Rodentia; Sciuridae. The record is from Rfam by way of RNAcentral.
GGGGAUAUAGCCCAGGGUUAGAGUACUUGCCUACCUUGUGCAGGGUUCUGGGUUUAAUCCCCAGCAUCCCCA